Non-coding RNA from Ictidomys tridecemlineatus (thirteen-lined ground squirrel), 72 nucleotides. Lineage: Eukaryota; Metazoa; Chordata; Mammalia; Rodentia; Sciuridae. The record is from Rfam.
AGGGUUGUGGCUCAGUGGCAGAGUGCUUGCCUGGCAUGUACAAGAAACUGGGUUCAAUCCCCAGCACCACGU